AAAACAACACACGCACUAGAUUUUCAAUAACUUGCCGGACUUUCACAUGCCUACCCAUACCAAUAAACAACCCGAAUGUUGUUUUAAUGACUAUUACCCCUGCCAAUUCCUAACCUAUAGCCUCAAUCAACCCAAAGAACAAGGCACAUUCCACUCCUUUUUCAUCACUCAAAACCCCACCACAACCAGCUUCAUCCUCCAUUAC
RNAcentral lists this long non-coding RNA (205 nucleotides) under Gossypium raimondii (Peruvian cotton). RNAcentral's name for it is "long non-coding RNA (GRAI_LNC007216)". Lineage: Eukaryota; Viridiplantae; Streptophyta; Magnoliopsida; Malvales; Malvaceae. The record is from RNAcentral.